AUACUCUUUUUGCUGUAAAAAAAAAAUAAAAGAGUAAUACACUGUUAUUUAUUGAAAUUUAGGUUUACUAACAAAAUUUCGUGAAUCAUUCCUAUUUACUAUCUCUGGUACUCUUUAUAAAAAAAAAAACAAAUGCACUGAAAACUUAUUUCUUAUAAAAAUGGAGAGAGAAGAUAAUAAAUCUCAUACAUAACUUUAUAAAUUUCAAUAAAUUUU
RNAcentral lists this long non-coding RNA (216 nucleotides) under Glycine max (soybean). RNAcentral's name for it is "long non-coding RNA (GMAX_LNC002836)". The record is from RNAcentral. Lineage: Eukaryota; Viridiplantae; Streptophyta; Magnoliopsida; Fabales; Fabaceae.